Molecule: ribosomal RNA, 1229 nt
Filed under: Lactococcus lactis
Lineage: Bacteria; Bacillati; Bacillota; Bacilli; Lactobacillales; Streptococcaceae
Description: bacterial SSU rRNA
Rfam family: Bacterial small subunit ribosomal RNA
Source: RNAcentral
UGCUAUACUGCAAGUUGAGCGCUGAAGGUUGGUACUUGUACCAACUGGAUGAGCAGCGAACGGGUGAGUAACGCGUGGGGAAUCUGCCUUUGAGCGGGGGACAACAUUUGGAAACGAAUGCUAAUACCGCAUAAAAACUUUAAACACAAGUUUUAAGUUUGAAAGAUGCAAUUGCAUCACUCAAAGAUGAUCCCGCGUUGUAUUAGCUAGUUGGUGAGGUAAAGGCUCACCAAGGCGAUGAUACAUAGCCGACCUGAGAGGGUGAUCGGCCACAUUGGGACUGAGACACGGCCCAAACUCCUACGGGAGGCAGCAGUAGGGAAUCUUCGGCAAUGGACGAAAGUCUGACCGAGCAACGCCGCGUGAGUGAAGAAGGUUUUCGGAUCGUAAAACUCUGUUGGUAGAGAAGAACGUUGGUGAGAGUGGAAAGCUCAUCAAGUGACGGUAACUACCCAGAAAGGGACGGCUAACUACGUGCCAGCAGCCGCGGUAAUACGUAGGUCCCGAGCGUUGUCCGGAUUUAUUGGGCGUAAAGCGAGCGCAGGUGGUUUAUUAAGUCUGGUGUAAAAGGCAGUGGCUCAACCAUUGUAUGCAUUGGAAACUGGUAGACUUGAGUGCAGGAGAGGAGAGUGGAAUUCCAUGUGUAGCGGUGAAAUGCGUAGAUAUAUGGAGGAACACCGGUGGCGAAAGCGGCUCUCUGGCCUGUAACUGACACUGAGGCUCGAAAGCGUGGGGAGCAAACAGGAUUAGAUACCCUGGUAGUCCACGCCGUAAACGAUGAGUGCUAGAUGUAGGGAGCUAUAAGUUCUCUGUAUCGCAGCUAACGCAAUAAGCACUCCGCCUGGGGAGUACGACCGCAAGGUUGAAACUCAAAGGAAUUGACGGGGGCCCGCACAAGCGGUGGAGCAUGUGGUUUAAUUCGAAGCAACGCGAAGAACCUUACCAGGUCUUGACAUACUCGUGCUAUUCCUAGAAAAUAGGAAGUUCCUUCGGGACACGGGAUACAGGUGGUGCAUGGUUGUCGUCAGCUCGUGUCGUGAGAAGUUGGGGUUAAGUCCCGCAACGAGCGCAACCCCUAUUGUUAGUUGCCAUCAUUAAAUUGGGGACUCUAACGAGACUGCCGGUGAAAACCGGAGGAGAGAGGUGGGGGUGAAAUUCAAAUAAUUUUGCCCCUAUUAACUGGGGGUACACACGGCUCCAAAGGAAGGGGCAACCAACCCGCCGACAAA